This 541-nucleotide ribosomal RNA is filed under the name uncultured Pseudomonadota bacterium. RNAcentral describes it as "bacterial SSU rRNA". It matches the Rfam family "Bacterial small subunit ribosomal RNA", at positions 84 to 609 of the family's 1533-position model. The record is from RNAcentral. Lineage: Bacteria; Pseudomonadati; Pseudomonadota.
CCUGGCGGCGAGCGGCGAACGGGUGAGGAAUGCAUCGGAACGUACCCCGGAGUGGGGGAUAACGCCGCGAAGGCGGCGCUAAUACCGCAUAUGCUCUGAGGAGGAAAGUGGGGGACCCUGAGGGAAACUGAGGGGCCUCACGCUCUGGGAGCGGCCGAUGUCCGAUUAGCUUGUUGGUGAGGUAAUGGCUUACCAAGGCGACGAUCGGUAGCUGGUCUGAGAGGAUGAUCAGCCACACUGGGACUGAGACACGGCCCAGACUCCUACGGGAGGCAGCAGUGGGGAAUUUUGGACAAUGGGGGCAACCCUGAUCCAGCCAUGCCGCGUGCGGGAAGAAGGCCUUCGGGUUGUAAACCGCUUUUAGUCGGGAAGAAAAGGCCACUCUUAAUACGGGUGGUUCUUGACGGUACCGGCGGAAUAAGCACCGGCUAACUACGUGCCAGCAGCCGCGGUAAUACGUAGGGUGCGAGCGUUAAUCGGAAUUACUGGGCGUAAAGCGUGCGCAGGCGGUUCGUUAAGUUCGAUGUGAAAGCCCCGGGCU